CAGUGUUGCUUUGGAAUUCAUUUUAUUCUGCUGCCGCAGCUAAAACAGGGUGGCAACUCAACGGCGCAACAACUAAAAUCCUCCGUCGAGCGCGUUGAAAACACAUCAGUAGCUGACGGCAAAAAUAGUUUAUAUACCAUUCAUUACCUAUUAGCAAAUAAUCACAAUCAGUGGUUAUUUUUAUUAGCGGUGAGCGGUACCGCAUGCAAAUAGUCGCAAAAUGGCGCUUAGAAUUUGGAUAAGAAACGAAAUACGUGAGGCUUACGUAAGUGCGAGGACCAACAACAACGCUGGGAAGAGAGAAAACAAGUUGUUUAGAAAACAGGGUGUACCAUUGUCACCCAGCCAUGUGGUGGAAACGAUGAUCAGAACAUCUGGGUAAGACACCCUGUUUGAGCCAAAGAGAGAGAGCGGGUGUGAGAGCAGCGCACCCACACAAGCGCAACGAGUAUACAGCAGAUAGCGACGUCGGCAGAGCGUUUUAGCCGACCAUUGCAGUACAUAUGUGAAAUCGACGAAACCGAAAAUCAGAAACCAAACGGACCACUAGCGAGCUACAACUCUGCCACGGCUACACUUUACACACUCAUGUACUCCUCCACCACCUCACUCGCCAGCGCACUCACACACAGACGCGUGCGUGCGGAGAGAGGAAGUAAAAAUAUGAAGACAAAAAAAAGCAAGUGCAUCUCACCAUGACAAUGGCGGAACCAUAAAAACACAUGUUCCCAUCUCGAAUCGAACUGAAUUCGGCGGCCAGCUCCUUCACAAAAUAAAAUAAUACAGACAAAAAAUCUGUAUACGCGCAAAAGUUGAGCUGCUAAAACAUGGAAACCUUGCAGUUAUCGAUUCGUCUCGCUCAUUGCGCAAUGAAAAAAAUGCAGCGGGGGCGGAGGAUACGAGAGAGCCUCUCUCUUUGUGAGACACCUGCAGCGAUAGGAAAUGCAAAUCCGCCUUCCACUUUCCAGCUCGAAAGUUCAAAGUUCACAUGCAACUAACUAGCUACUGGGUGCAGCGCAUGUCCGAGGUGCACCAAAGUCCCUGGACCAAACAAAAAAAUGGCACAAACCAAACUCUCCGACUUCCAGGCGCCGCAGGAAGAUCUGUCAUGGAAUGCGGCACUAGGAAAUAUUAACUGACGCUGAUCAAGUGAUAUCUGAAAUGUGGUAAAGAGGUUCCUGUCACACGGACCCAUUUCUAUAAAAAAAACUAAUUAGUUUGAUAUUCGUACGUGUUCUGCAAAUUAUCAGAUGUUUUUAACUCUCUUGAGUCACAUGAUAUUUAAUGUGAUAAAAACUUUUUGUUAUUUAUUGUUUGUUUGUCCUAAAAAAUUGACAACACAGUAAAUGGAAAACUUUACUAUAAAAUAUUUAACUUUAGUAUUAAUUCUCAUCAAAACUAUAAAUCCAUUUAAGGAUUAGAGAACCCUCUUCUUUAUGUAAAAGAUUAUACACAAAUUUACCGGUGAGCCAAAAUGCGUGUUGGAUCAAAAUUAAGAGCAAUUAAAAGGUUUUUAAAUUAAAAUAACGAUUAUAAAUUUGGGAAUAGGCUUACACGAUUGAACACAACGGCUUCAGUGUUGUUUACUAAUUCAAUACUUAUUGAAAUGAUAACAUAGUAUAUUUAAACAUACAGUUUAACACUCAAGUUUUAAUAAUAUAAUGAUGAAGGCUUGAAAAAGUUACAACUAAAUAUGUGUAAAAGUGUUCAACGUCUAAUACACUUCAACUUCGUUCCGACCAUCAAGUUCAAGAGACUUGUUCGUUGGCCUCUGGCUAAAAUACAAUUGCGAAUUGCAAACAAUUGGUUGGCGACGCGGCAAGUGUUUUUUUUUUCUCGGGAGAAAGAUCGAGAGAAGUGUGGAGAGACUGCCAAAACUGGGGAGUUUGAGUUCAGAAGUAACUUGUUUUUCAAGUUUUCAAACAGCCAAAACCAAACCAGACUUAAAAGCCAGUCGAAACUUGAGGCGCUUCACAAAGAAAAUUUGAGGAAAGCACUGAGAACGUGUUUGUGUGUGUGCAUUACAAUUGGACCUCACAGAAGCAGUGAGCCCGAUUU
Molecule: non-coding RNA, 2058 nt
Organism: Drosophila melanogaster (fruit fly)
Lineage: Eukaryota; Metazoa; Arthropoda; Insecta; Diptera; Drosophilidae
Source: Ensembl